AGCGCAUGGUAAUGUUUGCAUGGCAUAUCGUGUGAAUGGAGAUAGAAGGUGUCGGAAUGGGGUGUGUUCUGUAGAGUCCUUCUUUGUGUCCAGUGGAAGCCAUUGCUGGCAGACCUGCAUUCCCCUGGGGCAACUCUGAACCAAAAAGCCUUGCCUAGGAGCCUACAUCAAACCUGACAGUGCCUUUCCUGGCUUCUGGACCCAGUCUUCAACCAUUCUGGGUUCUACACAGUGCCCUUGAGGACAAGAACAAAUCCUGAUGUUCCAUGUUCUGGGGUCUUGAAAGCCUUUUGCAGUUGGUGUCUCAAACUGAAGUUUCCAGGCAUAUUUUCAUUGAACAUCUAGAAAGUUAAAGGGAAAAUCUCAGCAGAAACCAGAAUGGUGUUGCCUCCUCUCACAUCUUCAUCCUCUCUCCCACCUCCCAUGGAAGAAAGGAGACACAAGCACUCACGGACUCUGACCAACAGUGCUCUGCCACCUUCAACACCCUCAGUGGGUCCUGAGGUAUCUCAAAGAUUUCCCAAGACAUUGGAGGAGAAGCACACAAUUUCACUUUGAGAUGGGACACCCAACUUAUGUGUUAUCUUCCACUUGACUCAGAAAAUCAUUUGAAAUGAGCUAUGGCUCCAGUCUGGCAUGUCCAGAGGCAAGGAUGAGCUCAUGCUCAUCCCACAGCAUGCUCUGUUCUAACUAAUCAGACCCUUCCUGACCUACACACACACCUCAGCCCCACUAUAAUGAGAAGGAAAUAUGCUUGUGUUUUAUUCUGGUUAUGAUAUGACAUCCAAACUGUUAUGUUUCUAUUUCUAAAUUCAAUUAAAAAA
This 824-nucleotide long non-coding RNA is filed under the name Vulpes vulpes (red fox). RNAcentral describes it as "lncRNA (ENSVVUG00000010618.1)". The record is from RNAcentral. Lineage: Eukaryota; Metazoa; Chordata; Mammalia; Carnivora; Canidae.